AGUGAACGCUGGCGGUAGGCCUAACACAUGCAAGUCGAACGGCAGCACAGUAAGAGCUUGCUCUUACGGGUGGCGAGUGGCGGACGGGUGAGGAAUACAUCGGAAUCUACUUUUUCGUGGGGGAUAACGUAGGGAAACUUACGCUAAUACCGCAUACGACCUACGGGUGAAAGCAGGGGAUCUUCGGACCUUGCGCGAUUGAAUGAGCCGAUGUCGGAUUAGCUAGUUGGCGGGGUACAGGCCCACCAAGGCGACGAUCCGUAGCUGGUCUGAGAGGGUGGUCAGCGACACUGGAACUGAGACACGGUCCAGACUCCUACGGGAGGCAGCAGUGGGGAAUAUUGGACGAUGGGCGCAAGCCUGAUCCAGCCAUACCGCGUAGGUGAAGAAGGCCUUCGGGUUGUAAAGCCCUUUUUUUGGGAAAGAAAAGCAGCAGGUUAAUACCCCGCUGUUCUGACGGUACCCAAAGAAUAAGCACCGGCUAACUUCGUG
This 492-nucleotide ribosomal RNA is filed under the name uncultured bacterium. Its description in RNAcentral is "partial 16S ribosomal RNA". It matches the Rfam family "Bacterial small subunit ribosomal RNA", at positions 29 to 507 of the family's 1533-position model. The record is from RNAcentral.